UACGACUACAUAUCAGGCAUAUCAAUAAGCGGAGGAAAAGAAACUAACAAGGAUUCCCUAGUAACGGCGAGUGAGGCGGGAAGAGCUCAAAUUUGAAAUCUUAAAGGGUUUCCCUUGACGAAUUGUAGUUUAAAGAAGUGUUUUCUGUUGGAGUUUCGGUAAAAGUUCUUUGGAAUAGGACAUCAUAGAGGGUGAGAAUCCCGUAUUUGACCGUUACUUUCCAGCUGUGUGAUACACUUUCAAAGAGUCGGAUUGUUUGGGAAUGCAGUCCAAGAUGGGUGGUAAAUUUCAUCUAAAGCUAAAUAUUGGCGAGAGACCGAUAGCGAACAAGUACCGUGAGGGAAAGAUGAAAAGAACUUUGAAAAGAGAGUUAAACAGUACGUGAAAUUGUCAAAAGGGAAGCGUUUGACACCAGUGUUGUUUUUCCGAAAAUCAAUUAAGAAGGGCUUGAUUUUGUGGUGUAUUGACCUUAUCAGCUUUCUUCACUCUUUUUCGAGUCUUUCUUAAUGCACUUUUCGGUUAACAAGUCAACAUCAAUUUCUUUUGUUGUAAAAGGGUAUUUGGAAGGUGGCUUUCUUUUCGGAGAAAGUGUUUAUAGCCUUAUACCUCUACAAUCGGAGAGAUUGAGGUCUGCAGCGUAGAUCCUUCGGGGCUAGAUACACUUGUGCUAAGUUAUAGCUUUUCAUAGACAACUUGUUGACUAUGUUUAGUCAUGUAGCUUACCCGCUUGUGCUAUUUUACCUACGCUUAGGAUGUUGAUCUACAGAGCGAGAGU
RNAcentral lists this ribosomal RNA (775 nucleotides) under uncultured Neocallimastigales. Its description in RNAcentral is "partial large subunit ribosomal RNA". It matches the Rfam family "Eukaryotic large subunit ribosomal RNA", at positions 24 to 640 of the family's 3401-position model. The record is from RNAcentral. Lineage: Eukaryota; Fungi; Neocallimastigomycota; Neocallimastigomycetes; Neocallimastigales.